UACAGAGGGUGCGAGCGUUAAUCGGAAUUACUGGGCGUAAAGCACGCGUAGGCGGCUUUUCAAGUCGAUUGUGAAAUCCCCGGGCUUAACCUGGGAACUGCAGUCGAGACUGUCUAGCUAGAGUAUGGGAGAGGGAAGUGGAAUUUCAGGUGUAGCGGUGAAAUGCGUAGAUAUCUGAAGGAACAUCAGUGGCGAAAGCGACUUCCUGGACCAAUACUGACGCUCAUGUGCGAAAGCGUGGGGAGCAAACAGG
RNAcentral lists this ribosomal RNA (253 nucleotides) under uncultured bacterium. Its description in RNAcentral is "partial 16S ribosomal RNA". It matches the Rfam family "Bacterial small subunit ribosomal RNA", at positions 524 to 776 of the family's 1533-position model. The record is from RNAcentral.